AAUAGAUACCCUGGUAGUCCACGCCGUAAACGAUGAGUGCUAAGUGUUAGAGGGUUUCCGCCCUUUAGUGCUGAAGUUAACGCAUUAAGCACUCCGCCUGGGGAGUACGGCCGCAAGGCUGAAACUCAAAGGAAUUGACGGGGGCCCGCACAAGCGGUGGAGCAUGUGGUUUAAUUCGAAGCAACGCGAAGAACCUUACCAGGUCUUGACAUCCUCUGACAACCCUAGAGAUAGGGCUUCUCCUUCGGGAGCAGAGUGACAGGUGGUGCAUGGUUGUCGUCAGCUCGUGUCGUGAGAUGUUGGGUUAAGUCCCGCAACGAGCGCAACCCUUGAUCUUAGUUGCCAUCAUUAAGUUGGGCACUCUAAGGUGACUGCCGGUGACAAACCGGAGGAAGGUGGGGAUGACGUCAAGUCAUCAUGCCCCUUAUGACCUGGGCUACACACGUGCUACAAUGGACGGUACAAAGAGCUGCAAGACCGCGAGGUGGAGCUAAUCUCAUAAAACCGUUCUCAGUUCGGA
Molecule: ribosomal RNA, 520 nt
Filed under: uncultured bacterium
Lineage: Bacteria
Description: bacterial SSU rRNA
Rfam family: Bacterial small subunit ribosomal RNA
Source: RNAcentral